CUUAGGUGCAGCUCUACUAUGCGCUGGUAUUUUGACUGUCGCCUCAAUACAACAAGGACAGGGGAAAGUGAAUAUCCAGCGAAUAUUGAACCUAAAACUAACUUUAUCGCGGUGCGAAGAUGGAGAGGAAGCGGCCAGGUGGAGCAGAGAGGGAAAGGGCAUGCAAAAGGAAAACUCUCCAAGAAGAAACAGCGAAAUUUUGCAAAAUUACUGACCAGUUCAGGGCUUCGAGUGCAGUUCAGUCUCAUCUGUAAAUACUGUAGCUUUGUGUUCGCUAACUUAGCUAAUCAAGUAUUAACCACAGUUUCACUGCUAGCAAGCGUUAGCACUAUUACUAUCACCACUCAAAAUAUGAUAAAGGGCAAUGUUAUCUACUGUAUAGUUAUAUAAUAAGUAAAAAAUAAUAAUAAUAAAAAAAGUAAUUCAGCAAACAAAUAUCCAAAUGUACGUACAGUAGGCUACAUUUAGGGAGCCCUCCAUGUUGUUAUUUUAAAUGUUGAAAUUACAAAUACAGCUAGGGCAAACAACAGCAGCAACAAUAAUGACAAAAACAAACACUUUUCCAAGCUAGGAGUCAUAAAAGGUAAUAUCAUGUUCAAUAUUAGGAUUUUUCUAAAUAGAUAUUGUCAUGAUGUAGUCAGUAUUGUAAUAACAAGUAUUUAGGUAAUUUAGAAAAUUAUGUCUGCCCAUAUGUGAGGUUGAAAAACAAAAACAUUUUUUGUCCUAUUUUUCACAAUAAGGUGGAGAGAGUUAACCUGGCAGUAUCUCUGUGCAGUGCUCACACUUCAGUAUCAACCUGAGAUGACAGGUAGAGGUCAAAUAAGAGAUAUUAAAUGUGCUUUAAUAUAUUUGUAUAAAAUACAGUGUGGUUAAAUCUCAGGUGUUUUAAGUACUUUUAAGUCUAAAAAAAAUUGCCCUAAUGUGGUACUUUAAUUUUAACUAAAAUAAGUUUAGAUUCUGUGCUCACAAAUUACAGUGAGGUUAAACAGUUUUCAUUUUCCAGCAAUGUGGAGACAGUUCUGUUCAUAGCAGUAGACCCGGGAAAAAAGUGACAGAUUCAUGAAAAAGUGGCACAAGAAAAAGUGUCUUGUUUACCUCUCUUCUUCAUUUACUGUACUUUUGUGAGUGAAAUGUAGUUAUUGGAAGCUUUGCACUUCUGGUGUUGUUAAAUGCUUGGCACAAGCAUUUAAGAUGAUAUAAAUUAGGACUGCUUCACUACCUCUAGGUUGCUUGUUUAUAUUUUUACGGGAUGGCCACACUGUGUGUAACAACAUGAAUUGUAUGGGUUGGCCUGCAUGAGUGUGAGUCUCCUGACCUGAAAUUAAGUCCCAGUCCGGCCCUGGUCCUGAGAAUCUAAUCUAAGAUUCCAGAGUCUGUGGGAACAAAGGAAAAUUAUCUCCCGUGUAGAUCACGUGGUCUCACACACAUUUCAAGAUAUAAAACCAUAUACUGUUAUUUCCUAAAUGUAUAUGAUAUUUUUGAUGUCUCCACAUUGCUCACCAUGAACUAUGGAUUAGAUUGAUAUCAAACAUGCCCUGAAGAAUAUUUUAACUAAACACAGUUUGGACCAGGUUUAGUUCACAUGGUCUCUCUGACCCACAUUCUUGAUCAUUUUAACCUUAAUCAAAUUACUGCCGCAGUUUAUAAAUCUACUACACAGCUUGCUAAAAACUUGCAGUCAUCAGGUAGUUAUGAUCAGGUGUCCUUUAAUUUAAUACUGGGGGCACUGCACAACUACUACUAUUCCAGAAAAGCAUGGGUUUAAUAAUGGCAUAAAGCAGCCUUGUGGGAGUUUUCUCCAUAAACAUAUCUAUUAGCAGAGAAGGCCAUAGAGUUGAGGAUCAGAGUCAGCCACACAACAAUACACACAUGACCUUCAAGAGCAGUACUACAAAAAAACAAAACAAAUUAAGUCUCAAACUGUGAUUUAUUUAUUUUUAUUAUAAAGAACAUAUAUUAACAUGUAUGAAAUUAUGUACCAUGUGAUCAGGCACUUGUUAUAUACUACAAACUGAUCAUUAAAUACAUAAAAGUUGAUAUUUAAAUAAACAUUUAAUUAUAAAUACACACAGCAGUACUGUUAUAGUGCAAUUAAAAAAAAACACACAUUCUAUUUUAGGUUCACAUAUACAGAAAUUUGUCACAGGGAUCCCCCUAUUUUUUUUUAUUAUUUUUUUUUCUUCAGAUUUACUUGACAGAAUGCAUAUUUUAAGUCUGUCCUAAAUGGCUUUUAUUAAUCCAGAUUUAUAUAUGUAUGUGUGUAUGUGUGUGUGUGUAUAUUAUAUAUAUAUAAUAUGUAUAUAUAUGUAUAUAAUUUAGCUGUAAUAAAUUAUGAGGUCAUAGCAACAAAUUAUAUAAACAGUACUGUUUACAUUUGUGUAGGUUGUGAAGGCAUGAAAUACACCUUUUCAUUAAAUUCAUGUAUAACUAGACAUCAUAAAGCAGGGGUGUCAAACUCAUUUUAGUUCUGGGG
Molecule: long non-coding RNA, 2473 nt
Organism: Ictalurus punctatus (channel catfish)
Lineage: Eukaryota; Metazoa; Chordata; Actinopteri; Siluriformes; Ictaluridae
Exons: 2
Source: RefSeq, a predicted model, not a curated record